Molecule: ribosomal RNA, 253 nt
Filed under: uncultured bacterium
Lineage: Bacteria
Description: partial 16S ribosomal RNA
Rfam family: Bacterial small subunit ribosomal RNA
Source: RNAcentral
UACGUAGGGUGCGAGCGUUAAUCGGAAUUACUGGGCGUAAAGCGUGCGCAGGCGGUUCGUUGUGUCGGUGGUGAAAGCCCCGGGCUUAACCUGGGAAUGGCCAUGGAAACUGGCGAACUGGAGUGUGGCAGAGGGGGGUGGAAUUCCGCGUGUAGCAGUGAAAUGCGUAGAGAUCGGAAAGAACACCAACGGCGAAAGCACUCUGCUGGGCCGACACUGACACUGAGAGACGAAAGCUAGGGGAGCGAAUGGG